Molecule: ribosomal RNA, 189 nt
Filed under: Acidobacteriota bacterium
Lineage: Bacteria; Pseudomonadati; Acidobacteriota
Description: Acidobacteria bacterium partial 23S ribosomal RNA
Rfam family: Bacterial large subunit ribosomal RNA
Source: RNAcentral
GCUGGGUAGCGAAGUUCGGUCAGGAUAAGCGCUGAAUGCAUAUAAGCGCGAAACCUUCCUCAAGAUGAGAUCUCCCAACCCGAAAGGGUAACAAGGGCACUGGAAGACGACCAGUUUGAUAGGACGGAUGUGUAAGCGUGGCGACACGUUGAGCUUACCGUUACUAAUUGCCCGUUCGGCUUGACCAUA